UACGUAGGGGGCAAGCGUUUGUCCGGAUUUAUUGGGCGUAAAGAGCGUGUAGGCGGUUUGGUAGGUCCGUUGUGAAAACUCGAGGCUCAACCUCGAGACGCCGAUGGAAACCAUCAGACUAGAGUCCGGAAGAGGAGAGUGGAAUUCCUGGUGUAGCGGUGAAAUGCGCAGAUAUCGGGAGGAACACCAAUGGCGAAGGCAGCUUGCUGGGACGGUACUGACGCUGGAGGCGCGAAAGCGUGGGGAGCAAACAGG
RNAcentral lists this ribosomal RNA (255 nucleotides) under uncultured bacterium. RNAcentral describes it as "partial 16S ribosomal RNA". It matches the Rfam family "Bacterial small subunit ribosomal RNA", at positions 524 to 776 of the family's 1533-position model. The record is from RNAcentral.